Molecule: non-coding RNA, 3326 nt
Organism: Lolium perenne
Lineage: Eukaryota; Viridiplantae; Streptophyta; Magnoliopsida; Poales; Poaceae
Source: RefSeq, a predicted model, not a curated record
UUCAAAAACGCCAGCCCUUCUUUUUCCAACGGAACGAGUGAUGCAUUCGAUUGAUAUGCUGCAUAUCACGGGCAGAAGAAACUAUCGGUGAUUAGUUAUGUCAAGGUGGCGCCAAACCAAAAUGUUAGGAUCGCCAAAGUUUCGCUUAUUUUGGAGUAAUAAAAUUGGGCUGACUGAUUUGGCGCUGUUUCUGCCUGGAAUUGUGGAGGCAGUUUAAAUGGACUGCCAAAUUUAGGUUGAGUGUCCUCCAUAUCUCGCCUGAUGGGAUCAGCCCGAUUCAGAUCGCAUCUCGCCGCCGAUUCAUUUUUCUGUAAAUUUUCUUCCUAGUAGGGAUCAGCCCGAUUCCUAUCUCGCCGCCGCCGGCGCCACCCAGCUCAGCCUCGCUGCUCGCCGGCUACCCCCACGCAGCCUCCUUCUCACAGGCCGAUUCCCCUACAGCCGCCGCACUCCCACGCCCGCCCCCGGUCGCACCCACGCCAAAACCCUAGCGCUCCACUACCGGCCGGCGUCGGCAACGAAGCAGGACGCCCUCGUCUGGCUUCUGCUCCUUCUCCGACCACCACGCGCGACAUGGACCCCCUCGUCGGUGGUCCGGUCCGGUGCUCUCCUCCACGGCUCCGACCCAUCCGCGCCGAGCUCACCCGGCCGUGCCCGCUGGGGAUGUUCACCUGGAAAUUCAUGUACUGAAUAUCAACCAAGGAUGGGCAGCGGCAUGGCGGCUAGACCACGGUGGAGCUGAUGCGGCCAGCCAACGAGCCAUGGCUCUGGGACCCUGACGGUCGGUCGGAUGCCGGUGUCCUUGGGGCCUCGAUCAUCUGCAAGUGCAAGGAGUUCAACCGGAAACAAGCUUGGGGUUGCCUCCAUCCAGUGGCGACAGGGCACCCUCCUCCCCACGUUCUCCUCCUCCGCAGCAGGUUUUCACAAUGCACUGGCUUCGUCCUCGACAGUAACAAGGCCAUGAAAACGCUGAUGCGCGCAAUUUACUUUUAUCUUGACUCCGCGUUGUUGUGUCGUAUGGCAACGGUCGCAAUUUAUAGCCUUCUCGUCAUCAACAAGUCUGGUCACUUAUAUAGUACAAAAGGACUAUGGGUUGGCCUGGAGAAUGGACACCAACGGCAGUCUACAAUUUGCAAGCCACUGGCAUUUGAUGCAUGCUAUCUCGCAUCAGUUGUCCCCUACCAUUGGUUGUAACGGCAUUGAUAUCCUAGGCCUGCAGCUUCGACCUCUAGUACUUCUUCCAAUCUCUCGAAGAGGUGCAGGAAGAGAAAGGUUUGAUCUUUGGCGUCCAUGGCCACAACAUAGCAACCGACUGGAACACGUAGAGCAGAGCUGAUGUGGUCAGCCGACAAGCCGUGGCCCUUGGACCCUCACCAACUCAGCCAUCCUCGGGCCCUUCCUAUGUUGCACGGUUAUAUUUUUUUUCCAGCUGUUCAAUCGGAAACAAGGUGCCAAAUUGGUAUGUUUCUGUGGGUUAAGUCCAGUAACUAUGGAGUCCAUAACUUUAUAUAAGAAAUUCAAGACUUCGUAUGUCAGCUUCAUGAAAUUUGGGGAAAUGGAUUAUAGCGUCGACGCCACACCACGCCCUCUCCUACUCAGGCCUCCCCGCAGCCUGAGCCGAGAGUCGGGAGGCAUUCAAAGCACCCCUGCCCCGUAGUAGGUCUGCUUGUUUGUUUUUCUUCCUUUAGCGGGACUGGACACAACCAUGUACAUCUUUAUUUCUGUUUUACAAACAUACUCGUGGCCAUGCUUAUUUUUGUCCGAUGUAGCUGCCCAACAAGCUGCGGCACUAGGACCCUCGCCGGCUCCCUUGGAGCCUACACCAUCCGCAAGCGCACCCGACUGUUGUGGAUGUCUCCGGCUCCGGCCGCAUUACCCGUCUCCAAGUUGGCACCCAUCACCAACUGUAGAUUGUAUGGGUAAUCUGUUGGUGGGAGACACAUAGAUUGAGCAGGAACAGCUCAUCAGCUGGUGCCGACCACAACCAUGCUCUUGCCUCCGCACCAUGUGCCCUCCUUGUCGCAACCCUGCGUGGUGCUCCUAGUUGAUGAUUUAUUGCUGGGCUUACACUAGACAAUGUUGUUCAAGCAACAAGUCCGUCUGAAGGUGAUGGACUUACUUCUGCUUACUUCUGUUGCAUGUUUGAAAAUUGUCCCUUAAAACUGGUACUAAUAGGCAGGGCAUACUGUAGUAGGAUACAUGGUAUCUUGUGUUAGUUUAUUAGAGGUUUUCAUAGACGUGGACAAGUUUGUGGUCUUGGUGUGAAACAACACUAUGUGGAUUUUUAAAGUAUUACGUGUCAUGUCUUUGGUGGGUUGACAUUUUUAAACUAUAAUGUGCAGAUUUUACUUCACAGUAUUUUCUAGUGUAAGUCUGCCUGCACUUUGAAGUGGGUUGUCUAAAAAUUUGCAGCUGGAAUAUUUGAUUCUUUUAUUUAUGGCAUGUUAAUUGGCCUGCAGCUGUUUUGUAUGCACUAUUCGUAGUAGAUUUGUCAAAAGUUCAUGUUCGUAUUAUUGUCUAUUUAUUUAUUUAUUUUGCUUAAUUUGUUGCAGGCUUGCGGCCAUCGGACCUGGAGAAAUACUCAGCUAGGUCUGGGGCAUAGCUAUAGCAGUCCGUCCUGAACAUCAGCAGUUUCAGCACUUCUCUGAUGACCACUCCAAAUAUCUUCUGCAGCGGCGUCAGCGGUGAUACAGGGGUGCGUGGGGUUGUCAAGGACAAGGGGACCUACUGCAAGAGGUAAAUGGUUAGUUGCAGCAGCAACUGCGGUCUCGGCCUCGGCUACAAAUCCCUGCUGGUGAACCCCGGUAGACCUAGAUCUGUUGUCGACGUCUUCCGAUGACCACAUCCCGAAGAAAUUGCUAUGAGUAACUAACAAAGGUGUAGCCGAAUGCACAAAAAUUGUGGAGCGCUGCAGGAAGUACGAAAAGUUAUGGUAGAUGGAAGAAAAGAAAUUUGAGUGUGACCGGCUUCAUCGUACUAAAAUUCCAACUCCUGGGGCUUCUCAGAGGCACGCCAGGUCGAAUAACUGGCUUCGCUCGAGGAAUAGGUGGUGGUAUGCCUGGAGCUGGAGGUGCUCCUGGUACUAUUGGUAUGCAUGUCAUCGUGAAUGUAAGCACUUGGACACUGCAUAUCUUUGUUUGUGCAACUAAUUGAAUCUUUUCUUUGUUGUACAAGACCUUGACCUCAUGACAACAUUUGGUGACUCUGAGGUCAUGUCGGCUCUUCAAGACGGUAUGGGUUCCCUCAAGUAGUUCCCUUGUUAUUGUUAAUAAUGUGAUGUCCUGGAUGUUGGGUGCCCUCUUUAUAGUUCGAACUAUCCCUGGUCAUGA